RNAcentral lists this transfer RNA (69 nucleotides) under Marmota monax (woodchuck). RNAcentral's name for it is "tRNA.Ala". Lineage: Eukaryota; Metazoa; Chordata; Mammalia; Rodentia; Sciuridae. The record is from RNAcentral.
GGAGUUGUGGCUCAGUGGUGGAGUGCUCGCCUAGCACAUGCGAGGCCCUGGGUUCGAUCCUCAGCACCA